This 253-nucleotide ribosomal RNA is filed under the name uncultured prokaryote. RNAcentral's name for it is "partial 16S ribosomal RNA". It matches the Rfam family "Bacterial small subunit ribosomal RNA", at positions 524 to 776 of the family's 1533-position model. The record is from RNAcentral.
UACGUAGGGUGCGAGCGUUGUUCGGAAUUACUGGGUGUAAAGGGUCCGCAGGCGGGCAAGCAAGUCGGUGGUGAAAGUUCAUGGCUCAACCGUGAAAUUGCCUUCGAUACUGCUUGUCUUGAGUUCGAGAGAGGAUGAUGGAAUUCAUGGUGUAGCAGUGAAAUGCGUAGAGAUCAUGAAGAACACCAGUUGCGAAGGCGGUCAUCUGGCUCGAUACUGACGUUCAGGGACGAAAGCGUGGGUAGCAAACAGG